GCGGAUGUGGCGGAAUGGCAGACGCAUCAGACUCAAAAUCUGACGGGGGUGACUUCGUGCGGGUUCAAGUCCCGCCAUCCGCACUA
This 86-nucleotide transfer RNA is filed under the name Lachnospiraceae bacterium. Its description in RNAcentral is "tRNA-Leu". It matches the Rfam family "tRNA". From Rfam's summary of the family: Transfer RNA (tRNA) molecules are approximately 80 nucleotides in length. The record is from RNAcentral. Lineage: Bacteria; Bacillati; Bacillota; Clostridia; Lachnospirales; Lachnospiraceae.